Molecule: transfer RNA, 60 nt
Filed under: Neoneuromus vanderweelei
Lineage: Eukaryota; Metazoa; Arthropoda; Insecta; Megaloptera; Corydalidae
Description: tRNA-Ile
Source: RNAcentral
AAUGAAGUGCCUGAGAAAAGGAAUAUCUUGAUAGGGUAUAUGUUUAUAUCACCUUCAUUA